UGGGGGAAUUUUGGACAAUGGGGGAAAUCCUGAUCCAGCCAUCCCGCGUGUGCGAUGAAGGCCUUCGGGUUGUAAAGCACUUUUGGCAGGAAAGAAACGUCGCGGGUUAAUACCCCGCGAAACUGACGGUACCUGCAGAAUAAGCACCGGCUAACUACGUGCCAGCAGCCGCGGUAAUACGUAGGGUGCAAGCGUUAAUCGGAAUUACUGGGCGUAAAGCGUGCGCAGGCGGUUCGGAAAGAAAGAUGUGAAAUCCCAGGGCUUAACUUUGGAACUGCAUUUUUUAACUACCGGGCUAGAGUGUGUCAGAGGGAGGUGGAAUUCCGCGUGUAGCAGUGAAAUGCGUAGAUAUGCGGAGGAACACCGAUGGCGAAGGCAGCCUCCUGGGAUAACACUGACGCUCAUGCACGAAAGCGUGGGGAGCAAACAGGAUUAGAUACCCUGGUAGUCCACGCCCUAAACGAUGUCAACUAGCUGUUGGGGGCCUUCGGGCCUUGGUAGCGCAGCUAACGCGUGAAGUUGACCGCCUGGGGAGUACGGUCGCAAGAUU
This 550-nucleotide ribosomal RNA is filed under the name uncultured bacterium. RNAcentral's name for it is "partial 16S ribosomal RNA". It matches the Rfam family "Bacterial small subunit ribosomal RNA", at positions 354 to 895 of the family's 1533-position model. The record is from RNAcentral.